AGAAUUUUUGUAUGCAUGCUUACUGAUCUAGUAGGGGGAAAAUAUAAAAGACAGGUUUCAAAAAUGAAUCCUCCUGCAACCCAGAACUCACUGUUCAGCAUGAGUUUUGAUACCCGUAAGAAGAAAU
This 127-nucleotide small nucleolar RNA is filed under the name Mus pahari (shrew mouse). RNAcentral's name for it is "predicted gene, 22382 (MGP_PahariEiJ_G0034037.1)". It matches the Rfam family "Small nucleolar RNA SNORA40". From Rfam's summary of the family: The snoRNA ACA 40 belongs to the H/ACA family of snoRNAs and guides the pseudouridylation of 28S rRNA subunit at position U4565. The record is from RNAcentral. Lineage: Eukaryota; Metazoa; Chordata; Mammalia; Rodentia; Muridae.